UACGUAGGGUGCGAGCGUUGUCCGGAAUUAUUGGGCGUAAAGAGCUCGUAGGCGGCCAUCUAAGUCAGACGUGAAAUCCCUCGGCUCAACCGGGGAACUGCGUCUGAGACUGGAAGGCUUGAAUUCGGGAGAGGGAUGUGGAAUUCCAGGUGUAGCGGUGAAAUGCGUAGAUAUCUGGAGGAACACCGGUGGCGAAGGCGGCGUUCUGGACUGCAACUGACACUGAGAAACGAAAGCCAGGGGAGCAUACGGG
Molecule: ribosomal RNA, 253 nt
Filed under: uncultured bacterium
Lineage: Bacteria
Description: partial 16S ribosomal RNA
Rfam family: Bacterial small subunit ribosomal RNA
Source: RNAcentral